GAUGAAGAACGCAGCGAAAUGCGAUAAGUAAUGUGAAUUGCAGAAUUCAGUGAAUCAUCGAAUCUUUGAACGCACCUUGCGCCCUUUGGCCAUUCCGAAGGGCAUGCCUGUUUGAGUAUCAUGAACACCUCAACUCUUUAUGGUUUUCCAUGAUGAGCUUGGACUCUGGGGGUUUUGCUGGCUCACAGUCGGCUCCUCUAAAAUGAAUCAGCUUACCAGUGUUUGGUGGGUAUCAUGGGUGUGAUAACUAUCUACGCUUGUGGUUUUUCCAACAGGUAACCUUCAGCAGUGGAGGUUCGCUGGAGCUCAUAAAUGUCUCUCCUCAGUGAGGACAGCCCUUUGAAUGUUUGAUCUCAAAUCAGGUAGGACUACCCGCUGAACUUAAGCAUAUCAAUAAGCGGAGGA
This 405-nucleotide unclassified non-coding RNA is filed under the name soil metagenome. RNAcentral's name for it is "partial contains 5.8S ribosomal RNA, internal transcribed spacer 2, and large subunit ribosomal RNA". The stretch from base 1 to 121 matches the Rfam family "5.8S ribosomal RNA", at positions 35 to 154 of the family's 154-position model. The record is from RNAcentral.